RNAcentral lists this long non-coding RNA (568 nucleotides) under Monodelphis domestica (gray short-tailed opossum). RNAcentral describes it as "lncRNA (ENSMODG00000035342.2)". Lineage: Eukaryota; Metazoa; Chordata; Mammalia; Didelphimorphia; Didelphidae. The record is from RNAcentral.
GUCAUCAUCUCUUUGCCAGGAAAUGAAUACCAUGUUUCAUCAUGAUGAUGUCCUUUGCUUCUGUACUGUGCCAUGGGUCCAAGGGAAACUGUCAUGGCGGCCUGUUAGGAUCCAUUCUUGCAGUCAGUGAUUCCCUCCUGAUCAUCUUAGAAUUGCAGGAUACCUCAGUUCCUGAAGUGCUGAACAGAAACCCUGAAUGAAUGUUGAUGUUUGGGGUACCUACAUAGGCUGUAUAUGGAAAGAAUCAAAACUAUGUACUGUUUCCAAGAAGAGCGGGAAGGACUAAGCAAUGGGAGUUAAGUGGCUUACCCACAGUCACAUGGCUAGGAAGUGUCUGAAGUCAAAUUUGAACCCAGGACCUCCUGUCUCUAGACUUGCUCUCAAUCUACUGAGCCAUCCAACUGCCCCCAUGGUAAGGGAAAUUGAAGAGCUUGACCUUGGAAGUUUCAAAAGACAGGAGAAUGAGCUAUCAGAAGUCCAGGUGUCUGGAAUUAAGCUCAUGUGGGAUUUUGCAACCACCCUAGCAGCAACGACCAAGAGAGGUACAAGAUGGCACAGUGGACAUUAG